RNAcentral lists this ribosomal RNA (253 nucleotides) under uncultured bacterium. Its description in RNAcentral is "partial 16S ribosomal RNA". It matches the Rfam family "Bacterial small subunit ribosomal RNA", at positions 524 to 776 of the family's 1533-position model. The record is from RNAcentral.
UACAGAGGUCUCAAGCGUUGUUCGGAUUCAUUGGGCGUAAAGGGUGCGUAGGCGGCGCGGUAAGUCGGGUGUGAAAUCUCGGGGCUUAACUCCGAAACUGCAUUCGAUACUGCCGUGCUUGAGGACUGGAGAGGAGACUGGAAUUUACGGUGUAGCGGUGGAAUGCGUAGAUAUCGUAAGGAAGACCAGUGGCGAAGGCGGGUCUCUGGACAGUUCCUGACGCUGAGGCACGAAGGUCAGGGGAGCAAACGGG